This 2716-nucleotide ribosomal RNA is filed under the name Escherichia coli. RNAcentral describes it as "partial 23S ribosomal RNA". It matches the Rfam family "Bacterial large subunit ribosomal RNA". The record is from RNAcentral. Lineage: Bacteria; Pseudomonadati; Pseudomonadota; Gammaproteobacteria; Enterobacterales; Enterobacteriaceae.
UGCUAAUCUGCGAUAAGCGUCGGUAAGGUGAUAUGAACCGUUAUAACCGGCGAUUUCCGAAUGGGGAAACCCAGUGUGUUUCGACACACUAUCAUUAACUGAAUCCAUAGGUUAAUGAGGCGAACCGGGGGAACUGAAACAUCUAAGUACCCCGAGGAAAAGAAAUCAACCGAGAUUCCCCCAGUAGCGGCGAGCGAACGGGGAGCAGCCCAGAGCCUGAAUCAGUGUGUGUGUUAGUGGAAGCGUCUGGAAAGGCGCGCGAUACAGGGUGACAGCCCCGUACACAAAAAUGCACAUGCUGUGAGCUCGAUGAGUAGGGCGGGACACGUGGUAUCCUGUCUGAAUAUGGGGGGACCAUCCUCCAAGGCUAAAUACUCCUGACUGACCGAUAGUGAACCAGUACCGUGAGGGAAAGGCGAAAAGAACCCCGGCGAGGGGAGUGAAAAAGAACCUGAAACCGUGUACGUACAAGCAGUGGGAGCACGCUUAGGCGUGUGACUGCGUACCUUUUGUAUAAUGGGUCAGCGACUUAUAUUCUGUAGCAAGGUUAACCGAAUAGGGGAGCCGAAGGGAAACCGAGUCUUAACUGGGCGUUAAGUUGCAGGGUAUAGACCCGAAACCCGGUGAUCUAGCCAUGGGCAGGUUGAAGGUUGGGUAACACUAACUGGAGGACCGAACCGACUAAUGUUGAAAAAUUAGCGGAUGACUUGUGGCUGGGGGUGAAAGGCCAAUCAAACCGGGAGAUAGCUGGUUCUCCCCGAAAGCUAUUUAGGUAGCGCCUCGUGAAUUCAUCUCCGGGGGUAGAGCACUGUUUCGGCAAGGGGGUCAUCCCGACUUACCAACCCGAUGCAAACUGCGAAUACCGGAGAAUGUUAUCACGGGAGACACACGGCGGGUGCUAACGUCCGUCGUGAAGAGGGAAACAACCCAGACCGCCAGCUAAGGUCCCAAAGUCAUGGUUAAGUGGGAAACGAUGUGGGAAGGCCCAGACAGCCAGGAUGUUGGCUUAGAAGCAGCCAUCAUUUAAAGAAAGCGUAAUAGCUCACUGGUCGAGUCGGCCUGCGCGGAAGAUGUAACGGGGCUAAACCAUGCACCGAAGCUGCGGCAGCGACGCUGAUGCGUUGUUGGGUAGGGGAGCGUUCUGUAAGCCUGCGAAGGUGUGCUGUGAGGCAUGCUGGAGGUAUCAGAAGUGCGAAUGCUGACAUAAGUAACGAUAAAGCGGGUGAAAAGCCCGCUCGCCGGAAGACCAAGGGUUCCUGUCCAACGUUAAUCGGGGCAGGGUGAGUCGACCCCUAAGGCGAGGCCGAAAGGCGUAGUCGAUGGGAAACAGGUUAAUAUUCCUGUACUUGGUGUUACUGCGAAGGGGGGACGGAGAAGGCUAUGUUGGCCGGGCGACGGUUGUCCCGGUUUAAGCGUGUAGGCUGGUUUUCCAGGCAAAUCCGGAAAAUCAAGGCUGAGGCGUGAUGACGAGGCACUACGGUGCUGAAGCAACAAAUGCCCUGCUUCCAGGAAAAGCCUCUAAGCAUCAGGUAACAUCAAAUCGUACCCCAAACCGACACAGGUGGUCAGGUAGAGAAUACCAAGGCGCUUGAGAGAACUCGGGUGAAGGAACUAGGCAAAAUGGUGCCGUAACUUCGGGAGAAGGCACGCUGAUAUGUAGGUGAAGUCCCUUGCGGAUGGAGCUGAAAUCAGUCGAAGAUACCAGCUGGCUGCAACUGUUUAUUAAAAACACAGCACUGUGCAAACACGAAAGUGGACGUAUACGGUGUGACGCCUGCCCGGUGCCGGAAGGUUAAUUGAUGGGGUUAGCCGCAAGGCGAAGCUCUUGAUCGAAGCCCCGGUAAACGGCGGCCGUAACUAUAACGGUCCUAAGGUAGCGAAAUUCCUUGUCGGGUAAGUUCCGACCUGCACGAAUGGCGUAAUGAUGGCCAGGCUGUCUCCACCCGAGACUCAGUGAAAUUGAACUCGCUGUGAAGAUGCAGUGUACCCGCGGCAAGACGGAAAGACCCCGUGAACCUUUACUAUAGCUUGACACUGAACAUUGAGCCUUGAUGUGUAGGAUAGGUGGGAGGCUUAGAAGUGUGGACGCCAGUCUGCAUGGAGCCGACCUUGAAAUACCACCCUUUAAUGUUUGAUGUUCUAACGUUGACCCGUAAUCCGGGUUGCGGACAGUGUCUGGUGGGUAGUUUGACUGGGGCGGUCUCCUCCUAAAGAGUAACGGAGGAGCACGAAGGUUGGCUAAUCCUGGUCGGACAUCAGGAGGUUAGUGCAAUGGCAUAAGCCAGCUUGACUGCGAGCGUGACGGCGCGAGCAGGUGCGAAAGCAGGUCAUAGUGAUCCGGUGGUUCUGAAUGGAAGGGCCAUCGCUCAACGGAUAAAAGGUACUCCGGGGAUAACAGGCUGAUACCGCCCAAGAGUUCAUAUCGACGGCGGUGUUUGGCACCUCGAUGUCGGCUCAUCACAUCCUGGGGCUGAAGUAGGUCCCAAGGGUAUGGCUGUUCGCCAUUUAAAGUGGUACGCGAGCUGGGUUUAGAACGUCGUGAGACAGUUCGGUCCCUAUCUGCCGUGGGCGCUGGAGAACUGAGGGGGGCUGCUCCUAGUACGAGAGGACCGGAGUGGACGCAUCACUGGUGUUCGGGUUGUCAUGCCAAUGGCACUGCCCGGUAGCUAAAUGCGGAAGAGAUAAGUGCUGAAAGCAUCUAAGCACGAAACUUGCC